RNAcentral lists this long non-coding RNA (3321 nucleotides) under Pan troglodytes (chimpanzee). RNAcentral describes it as "lincRNA". Lineage: Eukaryota; Metazoa; Chordata; Mammalia; Primates; Hominidae. The record is from RNAcentral.
GUAGGUUGCUUGGACAACCCUGGCAAGAUCUUCCCCCAGACAUCCACCUUGGCGGCCGACUUAUUAACUCAUUGGUCUAUUGACUUUUGCUCCUUGCCUCGCCCCUGAUCCCUGUGCCCUCUUUCUAAUAAGCUACCUGCUGGUGAGGCUCUGCCUUGGGGGAAACCCAGGCUGAGGCAGGUGGGAUGUUAUAACCAGGGAGGCCUGAGUCCUGGGUCUUUGCCUGGGGUCCCCAAAUAGGAGAGGGAUUGGAGGAGGUAUUGUAGGGGAGAGUGUUGCAAAAGCCCAGAGGAAAGGAGUGCUGUUACCACAACAGAGGAGACAUGAACCUGCACAGACCAAAAACACGAGAGAGAGAGGGAAAGAGAAAGAGAAGGGGGAGAAAGAAAGGGAGAGACAGAAAGAGGAAGGGAGAGAUGGGGAAAGAGGAGAGGAGAAAGGGAGGGAGAGAAAGAAAGGAGAUGGAGAGAGAAAAGGGUGGGGAGAGAGAUAAAGAGAGAGGUAAAGAGAGAGAGAAUCAUCUACUACAUGAUUCCUUUUUUUUUUUUUCUGAGAUGGAGUUUCGCUCUUGUUGCCCAGGCUGGAGUGCAGUGGUGUGAUCUCGGCUCACUGCAACCUCCACCUCCCAGGUUCAAGCGAUUCUCCUACCUCAGCUUCCUGAGUAGCUGGGAUUACAGGUGCCUGCCACCAUGCCCAGCUAAUUUUUGUAUUUUUGGUAGAGACGGGGUUUCACCGUAUUGACCAGGCUGGUCUCGAACUCCUGACCUCAGGUGAUCCGCCCGCCUUGGCCUCCCAAAGUGCUGGGAUUACAGGUGUGAGCCACCGCGCCUGGCCAUGAUUUUUUUUUUUAACCUAUAAAAGCCUUGAGUAGUGAUGGAAGCGAUUCCUAGUAAUGUCGUUUACUAAAGGGUCAGGCUGUCAGUUCACCACAAAUACGCCACAGUAGUGUUUGGUAUUCUCUCAAUGUUCCACCCACCAGAGCAUACAAAACAGCCACAUUCCCCAAACAGUUAAUUCUCAAAACAUACUUGUAGAGGAGGGAAGCCUAUUACUCCCAUUAGAAAGAUGGAAAACCAAGGUGAAAUGAUUAACUGAGCUACCAGGGCCUCAGAAGAAAGUCGCUGCUGAGUUUGGGAUUGUGUUUUCAGCUUCCUGCCCACGUGGGUGAGCUCCACCUUUUACUGGAACCAACUCCAAGGAGGAAGGUUUGCUGGGUUUCCUGGAAGGCAAAGGUUUGCAUCUGCAUGCCCUGCGUGGAGGCAUUGUAUUUGGGGGCAGGCAGGAGAAUACUGUAGCUGGUGUGCCCACAGAAAGGGAGGGAGAGAAGCCACUGGGAGUGAGCUGGGCUUGGGAUCGGGCUGUGUCCUCACCAACUGUCUGCCCAGGCAUGAACUUGCCACUGCUGUGGAAGAGUCUGACUGCACCCAAGAAUGCCAAAGGUUGUGGCUGAACUCACUUCUCAACAGACUUGGAUCAUGUUCAUAUACUAUUCUUUAAAAGAUCACCAUUUGUAGUAGAAUGUCAAAAACCCAAAGAUGUUGCUCCCGAUGUUGAGCUGUAACUAUUUUCUGUGUUGGUGGAAAAAUAUGACAGAAUUAGUUGCCAUUCAUGAAUCUCAGUGAUACACAGACAAAAGCAUGCUUCAAUUUUGUUUCUUUGUUUUUGAGUGGUUCUGAUUUAUUUUCAGCUUUUGGGUGAUGUCUGGGGCUGUUUAUUGAGGACGGGAUAAAUGGGGGGGGGGACCAAAAUAUAUUUGGCAUUUAUUGGUGGUGUUUUAUAUUUGUGACUUGAUUUACUUCUUAUCACAACCCAGUGAGACACGUACUAUUAUCAUCCUUUUAAUAGAUGAGCAGCCUGGAGCUUAGAGAGGUUAGGUAGCAUGGACAUCAUCAGGCAAGUUAAAUGAGAAAGCUGCCACCCAUUCCCAGCUGGGGCUCACCCCAGCGCCUGUGUUAUUUCUGUUGCCCUGAGCCUCCCCAGACUUCUUAACCCACGUGUACUCCUAGCUUCCAGCAGUGCUAAUUUACACCGUGUACCAGCUGGAGACAUUCUGGAGUGUAGACUGACGCAAUAAUCCCCAAUCAUAGGUUUGCCAUUUUUUUUUAAAUGUGUUUUUUCCUACUGUUUAUUAUGGAUGUCAGAAUUUUCUCCUUCCCUGAGUUAUCUUUGGACUUAGAUGUAUAUAAAUGUAUCUGGUUGGAGGUGGGGGGAAAAGUGGAAGUGGAAGACCACAAAAGUAAAAAUGAAAUUUGAGUGUAUUUCACCGAUUCUAAGAGGAAUGCUUUCUCAUGCUCCAACCACUCUGAAAUCUCCGGGUCCCAUACUCCCAUCGCAGCUGUGUGACAUGGUUGCCGUGGCCUUUGUGUGAACAUCAAAGCUCAGAGGACGGGUGUCAGAGGCUUAGAUGAAAAUCCUGAAGACAAUUGUCUGGCACUUUUCAAAGCAAUACGGCCACACCAAAACCCUCCUGGAAGCUCUUGAUGGCUCAAGGUUCAACAGUGUCUGGGAAGACACGGAUAUAAAAGAUCCAGAAUCAAAGAGUGAUUCCAAAGAGUUAGAGGCUGACUGUGAAGUCUUAGGCAUACUGUAACCCAGUGAUUUACCUAUCUUUGCUUUUCUGCACAUGCAGAAGAGUGAUAUAUGAUGAAUAAAUUCUAAGUUCAAUUAGGCCUAAAGGAGCUCUUGUAAUAUGCUUUAAAAAGUCUAAGUGAUAAAACAUUGUGACAGAUAGAGUUCUGUCAGUGUUUAUAUUUUCUUAGUCCUUCAUUAAAUAACAGUGUCUCUUACACCAAGGCAGUUUUGGAUUCCAUAAAAUAUGGUAGUAGUUAUGUUUUAUGUUUCAAUAGUCAUCAAUCUGUUUUUAAUGUAUUCAUGGAAAAAUAUGUGGGCCAUCUUGCUAUUUAACUAUUUUUGAAAUCUCAUGGAAGCCUGCCAAUGUUUUUGCAAUUUAGCUGCUGUCUUGCUUUUUGAGAGGGGAAGUUCCAAUAUUGUAAGUCUAGGUUUCUGAAUAUAUUUUUGUUUUUUAAUAAAUGUAGAAAGAAUGUUUUUUGUUAAUCCUGGCAUUUGUCUAGAGCAAAAGCAAAAUAAAUGAAAAGUGAGGAAAAUUAAAAGGCUUGCGUUAUAACAUGUGCUAUCUAGAGAAUAAAAACUCAUUUGUGCAAAGUUGGUAUGGCUUUUAUGAAAAUAUUUCAGUCCGAGCACCUUGCCUGUUUGCUGCAGUGCUGACUGACUCAUGAUUAGGGAUCUGUGUUGCCUUUAUUGCUCUCGGUUUGCCCUAUGGCUUGAUUUAUUAAUAUAUUUAAAUAUACAAUUUUAACCUUA